AGAUAUGGAUUUCAGGAUUUUAAGAGCACGC
RNAcentral lists this non-coding RNA (31 nucleotides) under Mus musculus (house mouse). The record is from RNAcentral. Lineage: Eukaryota; Metazoa; Chordata; Mammalia; Rodentia; Muridae.